This is a long non-coding RNA of Gambusia affinis (western mosquitofish), 1498 nucleotides long. RefSeq lists it as uncharacterized. The transcript has 3 exons. Lineage: Eukaryota; Metazoa; Chordata; Actinopteri; Cyprinodontiformes; Poeciliidae. The record is from RefSeq and is a predicted model, not a curated record.
UGUGUUUUUGUGUUUGAUUUAAUGUAAAGCACUUUGAAAUGCCUUGCUGCUGAAAUGUGCUAUACUAAUAAAAUGUGAUUGAUUGAUUGAUAAAAAGGAAGGAAACAUCUCCUGAGCCAAGUAAUGCCAGGAUGUUCUCUAUCAGCUCAGAGGACUGGUGAUCCCCCAAACCAUUCUAAUAUAGCCUUAUAUCCUCUGCUUCCAGAGUCCUUUUGCAGUAAAUCAACAAUAUCAAAUUUCAUUUUCAUAUUACUAAGAUUUCUUAUUAACUUGUUUCUCUGAUACAGAUAAUUCCUGCAACUUAAAAUAACAUGUUCCAAUGUCUCAUCUUCCCCACAGUCACAUUUCCCUGUCUGGUGUUUCCCUAUCAAAUAUAGUGAUCUAUUUACUCCAGUGUAUCCAAUUCUAAGUUGUAAAAUAAUGAUUUCUUCUCUUCUGUUUCUUUCCGUUCUUCUCAUUUGUCCAAUUCUCUUUUGGAUUUUAUAAAACCACCUUCCUUUCUUUUCCUCUACCCAUAACUUUUGCCACCUCUCUUUUAUUUUCUGUUUAAUUAUACCCUUUAUUUCUGUUAUACCAAAACUAACAUUAAUAUCUAUCCUUACCAGGUUGGUACUCUCCUUAGCCAUCCUGUCUGCUAUUUCAUUUCCCUUAAUCCCUUGAUGUGCUGGAGCCCAUACAAAAUUUACUGUUAACCCAUCAUAUUGAUUCUGUAAAGCGUUUGUUGUAUUUCCAUUAAUAUAUCUGGUCUACUUUCUGACUGAUUAUUUUACAAACUGACUAAUGAAGAACUAGAAUCUGAACAAAUGAUAGAUUUUAAUGGUCUGACCUCUUCCACCCAUUGAACUGCUAAAAGCAAAGCAAGCAUUUCUCCUGUAUACACUGAAACUCUGUCACUAAUCCUUUUCCCUACUUUAAUUUGAAACUGUGGGACAAUAAAUGUUAUCCCUACCCUACUAACUGUAUUUUUGAUGCAUCUGUGUAUAUUUGUAUAUAGUUAUAAUAUUUAUUUAAGAAUGUUUGUACUAUAUAUUUAUUCAUAAUGUGAUAUUUUUUUUGUUUUUGUUUUCUAAUAACAAAAAAUCAACUUUGGCAUCAGGAAGUAUCCAAGGUGGAACUGCAGACGAUGAGUCAACGACAGCAGCUCCAGCGCGCCAUCUGGUGGAGAACCUGAAGAGGUGGCAGGAGAUGGAAAUCCCACACAAAACCCCAAACCCCGACUCCUAACAAAUAUUAAACUUUACAAUGUAAAGUUUAUUUUAACAACAAAGCUUCUGCUCAGCAGUUUGACCCAAAGCUGAGUGACAAACAGUAAAGCGAAGCUGUGAAGAAGUGGCUCCUGCACCACAGUGGGAGGGUGACACCAAAGUGACACCACUUUGGUUCCUUGAGUCAAACUUGGGUUCCCAACACCUACUGUUUUCCUGGUUCAUACAGAAGAAGGCUGAACCUCCUGGACGCUGGUCUUCCAUGGACAACAGCUUGUUAUGACAGUCAAAAA